RNAcentral lists this transfer-messenger RNA (322 nucleotides) under Fistulifera solaris. RNAcentral describes it as "ssr". It matches the Rfam family "transfer-messenger RNA". From Rfam's summary of the family: Bacterial tmRNA, also known as 10Sa RNA or SsrA, is named for its dual tRNA and mRNA-like properties. Its role is to liberate the mRNA from a stalled ribosome. Lineage: Eukaryota; Bacillariophyta; Bacillariophyceae; Naviculales; Stauroneidaceae. The record is from RNAcentral.
UGGUUUCGACAUUUAAAAUUAGUUAAUAUAUGAUUCAGGUCGAAGUGUACUCUUCGUAAAAAUCUACAAAUAUUCCAAUUAAAUGCUAACAAUAUUAUUUCAUUUGUUUAUAGAUUAGUAAGUUUUAUUGCUGUUAAAAACUAUUCAACAAGAUUAAAAUUUGCUUUCUAAUAUAGUAUAAAAAAUUGUUCACUACAUAUAGACGUUUAAGUUCUGGUAGUUUAGAAUAACUCUAUAAAUCAUUUGUUCUUUGUAACUAAACCUGUGAACGAGUAUAUUAAAAAAUUUUAGAUGGACAUGGGUUCAAUUCCCAUCAGUUCCA